Molecule: long non-coding RNA, 1286 nt
Organism: Lagenorhynchus albirostris (white-beaked dolphin)
Lineage: Eukaryota; Metazoa; Chordata; Mammalia; Artiodactyla; Delphinidae
Exons: 3
Source: RefSeq, a predicted model, not a curated record
GUAAUCAAGCCCUAAGCAUUUCCUUGUCUCAAGGAUUUUUGCAGGAUAUAAUGUCCAAGCUGAAACUCAAUGAAAAGAUUAUGUGUGUUGUUUAAAGAGAAGAGGAGAAAGAAAGAAGAUGGAGAAGGAAGAAAUGAGAGCAUCUUUAUCUUAGGAGAGACAUGGACGUCAUUAGAAGAAAUGAAUGGAUCUGAAAAGGAGUCCUUGUUUAUGUGACACCCCAGAUUCAUGGGUUUUAACAAGAUAUACGUUUCCUCACCCAGUCUACUGAGUGGGAUUUUCCUUCUUGGACAAGGCUGAGAUUUACAUACAUACUGACUGUGGAUAAUUCCAAGCCUGGAACCUGAGAUUGGAUGCACCUUGCAGUAUGGCUCUCUCCCAGUUCUUUCCCCAGUUGGACUGGGUCCUGUUUACAGUUUGGCUUUGUACUACAUCAUGAAAUUUCCCAGGGGUUUGCUGUAGUCAUCUAUGGGUUUUUUUUGUUGUUGUUGUUGUUUUGUUUUGUUUUGUUUUGAUGCCAGCCUUUGCGAAAGACUCUUGAUCUGAAUGACUUAUGUUCAUGGUCCUCCUGGAAUAAAAGCCAAUUUUACAACUUCUUGUUGAGCUAGGCCUAGUCAGGUGCAAGAGAAUCUGAAGGCUUUAGUGACAUUGACUUACAAAACACAUCUUCUUUCCGACAUUCAAGGCCUCUAAAUUCAUACGAUUCUUGCACAACAAAGUAAACAAAAUAGACUUUAGGGGAAAACUGACCAUGUAUUCAUAAAGAAAAGUAUUGGGGGGCCACAUUUGUAGCUUAAUUCUUUUUAGCACUGAGUAACACUCCAUUGUCUGGAUAUGCCAAGGUAUAUUUAUCCACUUGCCUAUUGGAAGACAUCUUGGUUGCCUCCAGGUUUCGGCUGUUAUGAAUAAAGCUGCUAUAAACAUGUAUGUGCAGGUUUUUGUGUGGACAUAAAUUUUUAAUUCAUUUGGGUACAUACUAAAGAGUGUGAUUGCUUAAUUGUAUGGUAAGAUUAUGUUUAAUUUUGUAAGAAAUACCCAAACUGUCUUCCAAAAGGGCUGUACCAUUUCUUGCAAUCCCACCAGAAAUGAAUAAGAGUUUCUGUCUCUCCGCAUCUUUGCCAGCAUUUGGUUUUGCUAGUGUUUUGGAUUUUGAUCUUUCUAAUAGGUAUGCAGUACUGCCAUUGUUUUAAUUUGCAAUUCCCUGAUGACAUAUGAUGUGAAACACCUUUUCAUAUACUCACUUGACAGUUCCAUAUCUUCUUUGGUGAUAUAUCUGUUCAGGUAUU